RNAcentral lists this ribosomal RNA (486 nucleotides) under uncultured bacterium. RNAcentral's name for it is "partial 16S ribosomal RNA". It matches the Rfam family "Bacterial small subunit ribosomal RNA", at positions 30 to 507 of the family's 1533-position model. The record is from RNAcentral.
AUUGAUCGCUGGCGGCAUGCCUUACACAUGCAAGUCGAACGGCAGCACGGGUGCUUGCACCUGGUGGCGAGUGGCGAACGGGUGAGUAAUACAUCGGAACAUGUCCUGUAGUGGGGGAUAGCCCGGCGAAAGCCGGAUUAAUACCGCAUACGAUCUACGGAUGAAAGCGGGGGACCUUCGGGCCUCGCGCUAUAGGGUUGGCCGAUGGCUGAUUAGCUAGUUUGUGGGGUAAAGGCCUACCAAGGCGACGAUCAGUAGCUGGUCUGAGAGGACGACCAGCCACACUGGGACUGAGACACGGCCCAGACUCCUACGGGAGGCAGCAGUGGGGAAUUUUGGACAAUGGGCGAAAGCCUGAUCCAGCAAUGCCGCGUGUGUGAAGAAGGCCUUCGGGUUGUAAAGCACUUUUGUCCGGAAAGAAAUCCUUGGCCCUAAUACGGUCGGGGGAUGACGGUACCGGAAGAAUAAGCACCGGCUAACUACGUG